Molecule: ribosomal RNA, 254 nt
Filed under: uncultured bacterium
Lineage: Bacteria
Description: partial 16S ribosomal RNA
Rfam family: Bacterial small subunit ribosomal RNA
Source: RNAcentral
UACGUAGGGGGCAAGCGUUGUUCGGAUUUACUGGGCGUAAAGGGCGCGUAGGCGGUCGUGACAAGUCACUUGUGAAAUCUCCGGGCUUAACUCGGAACGGUCAAGUGAUACUGUCGGACUAGAGUACAGAAGGGGCAACUGGAAUUCUCGGUGUAGCGGUGAAAUGCGUAGAUAUCGAGAGGAACACCUGCGGCGAAGGCGGGUUGCUGGGCUGAUACUGACGCUGAGGCGCGAAAGCUAGGGGAGCGAACGGG